GUCCCCUUCGUCUAGCGGUUAGGACAUCGCCCUCUCACGGCGAAAACAGGGGUUCGAUUCCCCUAGGGGAUA
Molecule: transfer RNA, 72 nt
Filed under: Parvibaculum lavamentivorans DS-1
Lineage: Bacteria; Pseudomonadati; Pseudomonadota; Alphaproteobacteria; Hyphomicrobiales; Parvibaculaceae
Rfam family: tRNA
About the family: Transfer RNA (tRNA) molecules are approximately 80 nucleotides in length.
Source: Rfam by way of RNAcentral